RNAcentral lists this ribosomal RNA (448 nucleotides) under uncultured bacterium. RNAcentral's name for it is "bacterial SSU rRNA". It matches the Rfam family "Bacterial small subunit ribosomal RNA", at positions 329 to 794 of the family's 1533-position model. The record is from RNAcentral.
GUCCAGACUCCUACGGGAGGCAGCAGUGGGGAAUAUUGCACAAUGGGGGAAACCCUGAUGCAGCGACGCCGCGUGAGUGAAGAAGUCAUUCGUUAUGUAAAGCUCUAUCAGCAGGGAAGAAAAUGACGGUACCUGAGUAAGAAGCCCCGGCUAACUACGUGCCAGCAGCCGCGGUAAUACGUAGGGGGCAAGCGUUAUCCGGAUUUACUGGGUGUAAAGGGGGCGCAGACGGCGAUGCAAGCCAGGAGUGAAAGCCCGGGGCCCAACCCCGGGACUGCUCUUGGAACUGCGUGGCUGGAGUGCAGGAGGGGCAGGCGGAAUUCCUGGUGUAGCGGUGAAAUGCGUAGAUAUCAGGAGGAACACCGGCGGCGAAGGCGGCCUGCUGGACCGUGACUGACGUUGAGGCUCGAGAGCGUGGGUAGCAAACAGGAUUAGAUACCCGAGUAGG